ACUUAGAGUUUGAUCAUGGCUCAGGAUAAACGCUGGCGGCGUGCCUAACACAUGCAAGUCGAACGCGCUUUCGGGCUUCGGCGCGAGAGCGAGUGGCGGACGGGUGAGUAACACAUGGAUACCUACCUUCGAGUGAGGGAUACCGGCGAGAAAUCGCCGACAAUACCGCAUACGCUUCUUCAUAAGGGAAGCAAAGUGGCGCAAGUCACGCUGGAAGAUGGGCCUGUGGCCGAUUAGCUAGUUGGGGGGGUAACGGCCUCCCAAGGCGACGAUCGGUAGCUGGUCUGAGAGGACGAUCAGCCACACUGGGACUGAGACACGGCCCAGACUCCUACGGGAGGCAGCAGUAGGGAAUCUUGCGCAAUGGGCGAAAGCCUGACGCAGCGACGCCGCGUGAGGGAAGAAGGCCUUCGGGUUGUAAACCUCUUUCAGGAGGGACGAAGCCACUCGGGUUAAUAGCCCAGAGGGUGACGGUACCUCCAGAAGAAGCCCCGGCUAACUACGUGCCAGCAGCUGCGGUACGCC
Molecule: ribosomal RNA, 525 nt
Filed under: uncultured bacterium
Lineage: Bacteria
Description: bacterial SSU rRNA
Rfam family: Bacterial small subunit ribosomal RNA
Source: RNAcentral